This is a long non-coding RNA of Ipomoea triloba (trilobed morning glory), 1399 nucleotides long. RefSeq lists it as uncharacterized. Lineage: Eukaryota; Viridiplantae; Streptophyta; Magnoliopsida; Solanales; Convolvulaceae. The record is from RefSeq and is a predicted model, not a curated record. The transcript is spliced from 2 exons.
AAUAUAUUUUUUGGUUUAAGAUCUCUAUGAUAAACAUUGGCUGUGUGCAUAUAUUUCAAAGCCCGUAGCAUCUGGUAGAGGAAAAACCGGUGGUGCUCGUGCGUCAAGUCAUCAUUGGCUUUAAUAACUUGAUGAAAAUCAGAUUCCAUAAGCUCAAAAACAACAUAUAUAUCUUUGAAGUCCCGCCUCGAAGGAGGAAUCAUAAUGCGUUUGAUUUCAACAAUAUCAAGGUGCCUCAAAAUCCUAAGCAACUUCACUUCACGCAAAAUUCUAAUUGCAUCAGAGAUGUGCUCAAAAAUGUCAUUUAUUUUCUUUAUUACUACCUUUUCCCAGUAUGAGUGUCCAGGGCUGCACAAACAACACCAUAGCUCCCUUUCCCUAUAAUCUCCAGAAUCUUAUACCUGUUGGCAUCCCCAUACUCUGUAAAAAAUUCCACCUCCUUGGAAUUCUUCUUGCGCUGAUCUUGUUGCAUCUUCUAGCAACCUAACAGUUGCACUAACGGCAUCGUUUCCUUCGCGUCCUCCCACAAGAUCGCGGAUCAAAUUCCCAAAUUAAGAACUCGGCGAAGAAAAAAAUCACGAAAUCCGACGAAUUAGAGCCACCGACACCGAUUCCGGGCGAAGAAUCCUAGGCACCGUUUCCUAACUCAAUUCACCACUUCACCGACGCUCAACCACCGCCACCUAACGCAUCAACUUCUCGCCAAAACUCCAAUUUCUCUUACAAUAUUACACGCAAAACAGAACUCGCAACGGAUCCGGGUUGAGAUCAAGAUCCAGUUGUUCCAAGAAAUUAACCUAGCGAUCACGGAAGAACUGAACGCUGGGUUCUGAGAGAUCUCACGGAAGCGGUGCCGGUGGUGGAGGAGAGCGAAGCAACAGGAAGGAAGAAGAACGAGAAGAGCGAGGGAAGAGUUCAUCGACCAAUUCGCCAUAGCUCAGAUUCAGAGUAGACGUGGAAAUGAGAGAGACCAAGCUUGAAAAAGAUGGCUUCUGCUAUAAACAUGCUUCUUCAAGAGCUUAUAACGACCGGGUUAAGGGAGAAGACAUGGAGCAUGUGAAAUUACGUGACUACCCUUGUGUUUCACGGCGAGUUGACGGCAUCAUUAACGGAGGACCACAUUAGGUAAAAAUUGGAAAGUCAUGGAUGUUAUUGGUUAAAAUCAUAAGUCGAGGACCAAUUUGUGAAUUAUGCUAUAGUCGAGGGACCAUUUUGGGUAUUUACUCUAUUUACAAUUGAUCGUUUCUAUACCUCGUGUCAACAACAGAUACAGAAUCUGAAAGUUAUUUUUGAAACAAGGUCAGGUAAACCCUAGCCCAUGAUGUAAUUUGCCCAAUAUUGCAAUGUCGACAAAGACUAGAUAUACAUUUUUAAUAUACUGAAUGUAGAUUAUACAAAA